GGUCUACUCUAUGGGUCUACUGUAUGGGGUCUACUGUAUGGGGUCUACUCUAUGGGGUCUACUGUAUGAGGUCUACUGUAUGGGGUCUACUAUAAGGGGUCUACUGUAUGGGGUCUACUGUAUGAGGUCUACUGUAUGGGGUCUACUGUAUGGGGUCUACUGUAUGAGGUCUACUGUAUGGGGUCUACUGUAUGGGGUCUACUGUAUGAGGUCUACUGUAUGGGACCUUUGAGGAGAGAGACAGAGGCAGCACCUGCUGUGGAGCAGCAGUGAGUCUCUCCUGAGAACAUGAGAUGAAUGAUAAUAAUCUGCAUUAACUUUCUUGCUAAAUACAGAUGACAAACACGUAGAGCUUCUUGUACGACAGAUAGACUUCAGAACAUGUUUAUGAAACAGGCUAUUCAGCAAGGCAAAGCUAGCCAUGGUUCAUUGGACAACUACAAGACUUUGCCCAAAUUACAUGGCACAAGCCAGGCCGGUUGCCAGGCGGGCAGCUGGCAUCAGCUGCGUCAUUGUCUUUGAUCGCGGCGAGAGGAGAAGGCUCAUUCUUCUACGUCCUCUCAGCCUUCAGCUCACACGUCCGCGUCGACACCGCCAAGGAAAGAAAGUGGGGCACAAACAAGGGGGACAGUUUGGCUGGAAACGGCCGCGCCACGUCCAUCGGCUCAUGAGACGAGGGACUUCCUGAGGGGACGAUUCCGGCCACACUAUGACGUCAUGUGCACACCACCUUUUAUAAUUCCACCAUGUUUCAUGCUAACGCUAGACCCGAUCCAGGGGGGCCACGUGUCACUCAAAUGAGACAAUAACAUCACACCCGGACGUAUUAAAGUGUCAAUAUGUCACACAGACACACCUCUCGUGCUCAGUGUGACGCAUUCAUGAGGAGGUUCUUUCCAGGGAACUGAUAACAUCAAAUAAUAACAGUCCAGGAGACACAAGCCGACGGUUCAACCCGCGUGACUCAUUUUCGCUUUCAGCUUGUGCGUUUUAACUCCGGCUCGCUUUUGUCUGCGCAACGACAAGCAUAACAGGCCGCACCAAAAACCCAUUCGCCAAAAUGAAACGAGAAAAACGGGCUGAAGCAUGCGCCAGCGAUACGGAAAACAGAGACAUGUAAAGACGUGCGGGGCUGCGUUAGCUAACCAGCUGCAGCU
Gasterosteus aculeatus aculeatus (three-spined stickleback) is the source of this 1157-nucleotide long non-coding RNA. Lineage: Eukaryota; Metazoa; Chordata; Actinopteri; Perciformes; Gasterosteidae. The record is from Ensembl.